GAGAGGGAGGGAAAGAGAUGGAGCAAGAAAAGAAAGAAAGAAAGAAAGAAAGAAAGAAAGAAAGAAAGAAAGAAAGAAAGAAAGAAAGAAAGAAAGAGAAAAGAAAGUGGAGGCCUCAAAAUAAUUUUUCUGUUCUUGGUUUAGGGAAAAAAAAUCAUGUUUAGACUCAAGAUUGGAGGAUGUGCCUGGCCCUUCUCCAUCUCUGAUCCUUGACAGUCAAGUGUGGCUGAGGACUCUGCCCCAUGCCAAGUGCUAAGAGGAUCUAGGACCAGGAUAUGAUGUCAUCUCUGUCAUUCUCUCAGGCCACCCUCUUGGUGGCAAAACUCAAUGGACAAUUGUGAUGUGACAGGAUCACACCUGGCAGCAGGACAUCCCAGAGAGCAAUGGGAGGACAAGGCCCAUGAGCUGUUGGAGCGUAGGGAGCAAAAGUUCAGUGGGGGACUUUGGGAGACUAAUGGGAAUUGGAUACAAGAAAGGGGCACAUUCUGGGGAGGUGGGGUCAGGAAGACAGGAAUGAACCUAGCACGUCCCUGGCCAGCAAGGGGGCCCAUUGCAGGGAGGACCAUGGGAUUCAGCACAGGGGGCAGGGUGGCACAGGCUGGGCCAGGAAGGGGGACCUGACAAUGAAACUCCAUCUGAAGGAUAACUCAGACCCAUGCUUAGUCCUCAGUGCUCUCUAGUUAAGGGAGCAGUUACAGAAGAUACAAUAUUUUGGAAAGAUUUACAACAAAAAGAGGGUUUUGGACAAAUAGGUUCUUUAUGAUGGUUAGAUGAUGUCAAGGGCAUCAGCCCCCAUCUGGCAUCUCAUUCCCAGCAGGCAGCAGCUAGUGACUAGAGACUGCUGGUAGGUCCUCAAAAGCUGGAGUGUGGCACUCCUGGUCCUCACACAGGGCCCUUCAGGGAGUGCUGAUCAGGGCAGCAGGGUGGAGAAAGCAUGGCUGGGAUACGGGUGCUGAGAUGUGCUGCCACUGCCCCUGCUUGCUGUGCAUCUUUAGACAAAGCCACCCCAGUCCUUCGAUGGUGCCACCCUUGCUCAGCUAGGAGCCCUAAGCCUGCCACCACACCCCCAGAGGUCCCCACGGGACCCCGUGCAAUAGUGCACAGGGAAGCCUGGAAAAGGUACUUUGUGACAUCAAGGGCACUCUUGUUAUCUCCAUCUUCCCUGUGUGGGGCCACUAUUAGACACCCUCCAAGCUCAUCCCUCAUGCGUCACUCUAACUGAUUGCCAACCUGGAAGAGUCACCAUAUGGAGAACCAAGCCCACGUUACCACACUAGCAUGCAGUUGUCUGGAUUCCAAGCCCAGCCUCCUAAUUGGCACUACCAUCAUGCCUGGUGACUGAGGGGACCCUGCUGCUUGGAAACCUGGAGCUGCGUGUGUGUAUGUGGGGUAGAAGGAUAAUGCAAAGGGUGGGAGAAACUCUCUGCAGGUGACAAGAGGGUCCCCUCAGUCUUCUCAUUCCACACACCAAGUGCUCCCUACAUGGAACUGGAUACUUCAGAGGUAUAGAAGCUGCUCUGUCCAGUAGGAUAGUUCUUCCUUGGGACGUACAGAAUCUGCAGGGUGAGCAAGAGAUCAGACAGCAAGAUGAUCCCACUGUGUUUCUAGGGUCUGCCUUGCCUGUGAUCAACGGCUCAGGAAGGACAUGGGGUCGGUGCUAAAUAAAGCUGCUCUCACCCAGGAUGCAAGGAGCAAAUGGAUCCUCAAGUGAUUUAGGCUUCUCAGAUUGGGGUGGAAUAUGAGCCUCUUCACCAAAUCCCAGUCAACAACA
This is a non-coding RNA of Heterocephalus glaber (naked mole-rat), 1771 nucleotides long. NCBI's taxonomy places the organism in Eukaryota, Metazoa, Chordata, Mammalia, Rodentia, Bathyergidae. The record is from RefSeq and is a predicted model, not a curated record.